GCGGAUAUGGCGGAAUUGGUAUACGCGUACGCUUGAGGUGCGUAUGUCAUUGACUUGCGAGUUCGAGUCUCGCUAUCCGCA
RNAcentral lists this transfer RNA (81 nucleotides) under Cyanobacteriota bacterium. RNAcentral describes it as "Cyanobacteria bacterium tRNA-Leu". It matches the Rfam family "tRNA". From Rfam's summary of the family: Transfer RNA (tRNA) molecules are approximately 80 nucleotides in length. RNAcentral also lists the same sequence under 1 other name. Lineage: Bacteria; Bacillati; Cyanobacteriota. The record is from RNAcentral.